UUUACGUGUGUGUGUGUGUGUGUGUGUGUGUGUGUUUGAGAGUGUGUAAAUACACACACACACACACACAUACACACACAAAAGCU
This 86-nucleotide microRNA precursor is filed under the name Podarcis lilfordi (Lilford's wall lizard). The record is from RNAcentral. Lineage: Eukaryota; Metazoa; Chordata; Lepidosauria; Squamata; Lacertidae.